Molecule: non-coding RNA, 635 nt
Filed under: Drosophila willistoni
Lineage: Eukaryota; Metazoa; Arthropoda; Insecta; Diptera; Drosophilidae
Description: Eukaryotic small subunit ribosomal RNA
Rfam family: Eukaryotic small subunit ribosomal RNA
Source: Rfam by way of RNAcentral
AAUGGUCCAUUUCUAGAGUAUGUGGCACAAAACCUACUUAGGUGGUGUGAUGUCGAGCAUGGUCAGUCAAAUGUAAUAUUGGUAAAAUUCUUAAAUACAUAUGUCUUAUGCAUUUAUAAUCGGCAAUGUCUAUUUAUUUAUUUAUUAUAAUGAAAUUUGAAAGUAUUUAUAAAAAUUUUUAAACGAUGCCAGCUAGCAAUUGGGUGUAGCUACUUUUAUGGCUCCCUCAGUCGCUUCCCGGGAAACCAAAGCUUUUGGGCUCCGGGGGAAGUAUGGUUGCAAAGCUGAAACUUAAAGGAAUUGACGGAAGGGCACCACCAGGAGUGGAGCCUGCGGUUUAAUUUGACUCAACACGGGAAAACUUACCAGGUCCGAACAUAAGUGUGUAAGACAGAUUGAUAGCUCUUUCUCGAAUCUAUGGGUGGUGGUAAAUGGCCGUUCUUAGUUCCUAUAGGAAGUAAAAGUCGUAACAAGGUUUCCGUAGGUGAACCUGCGGAUGGAUCAUUAUUUUAUUUUCCAACCGUUACUAAAAUAAAUAAAUACCAAAUUAAUAUAAAGAUAUAUAAAAUGAAAAUGAAAUUGAAGAUGAGAGCAUAAAAUGAAAAUGAAAUUGAUUAUUAUUAUUAUUAAAUCUG